CUUAGGUCGGGGAUAAACCCGGGAAACUGGGUAUAAUACCCGAUAGAUCUCGGCUGCUGGAAUGCAUCGAGCUCUAAAGCUCCGGCGCCUAAGGAUGGGUCUGCGGCCUAUCAGGUAGUAGUGGGUGUAGCGUACCUACUAGCCUACGACGGGUACGGGUUGUGAGAGCAAGAGCCCGGAGAUGGAUUCUGAGACACGAAUCCAGGCCCUACGGGGUGCAGCAGGCGCGAAAACUUUACAAUGCUGGAAACAGCGAUAAGGGGACCUCGAGUGCCAGGUUACAAAUCUGGCUGUCGUGAUGCCUAAAAAGCAUUGCAUAGCAAGGGCCGGGCAAGACCGGUGCCAGCCGCCGCGGUAACACCGGCGGCUCGAGUGGUAACCGUUAUUAUUGGGUCUAAAGGGUCUGUAGCCGGCCGGAUAAGUCUCUUGGGAAAUCCAGCAGCUCAACUGUUGGGCUUUCAGGAGAUACUGUCUGGCUCGAGGCCGGGAGAGGUGAGAGGUACUUCAGGGGUAGGGGUGAAAUCUUGUAAUCCUUGAAGGACCACCAGUGGCGAAGGCGUCUCACCAGAACGGACCUGACGGCAAGGGACGAAAGCUAGGGGCACGAACCGGAUUAGAUACCCGGGUAGUCCUAGCCGUAAACGAUACUCGCUAGGUGUCGGCCACGGUGCGACCGUUGUCGGUGCCGUAGGGAAGCCGUGAAGCGGGCCACCUGGGAAGUACGGCCGCAAGGCUGAAACUUAAAGGAAUUGGCGGGGGAGCACCACAACGGGUGGAGCUUGCGGUUUAAUUGGAUUCAACGCCGGAAAUCUUACCGGGACCGACAGCAAUAUGAAGGCCAGGCUGAAGACUUUGCCGGAUUAGCUGAGAGGUGGUGCAUGG
This 882-nucleotide ribosomal RNA is filed under the name uncultured archaeon. RNAcentral describes it as "bacterial SSU rRNA". It matches the Rfam family "Archaeal small subunit ribosomal RNA", at positions 114 to 997 of the family's 1478-position model. The record is from RNAcentral.